Molecule: non-coding RNA, 160 nt
Filed under: uncultured Eubacterium sp.
Lineage: Bacteria; Bacillati; Bacillota; Clostridia; Eubacteriales; Eubacteriaceae
Source: RNAcentral
AGUCGGGUGCCGGAUUAUUAUCCGGAUAAUAGGGAAACAGGUGUGAAUCCUGUGCGAACUCGUCACUGUGUACCGGAAAUAUGCUCCAGAUCAGUCACUGCGAAAGCGGGAAGGCGGAGUGUGUGAAAAAAAUCCGGAAGCCAGGAAACCUGCCAGACUG